Molecule: non-coding RNA, 46 nt
Filed under: Streptomyces sp. TAA040
Lineage: Bacteria; Bacillati; Actinomycetota; Actinomycetes; Kitasatosporales; Streptomycetaceae
Description: L31-Actinobacteria ribosomal protein leader
Rfam family: L31-Actinobacteria ribosomal protein leader
Source: RNAcentral
UCGGUCCCGGUUCACGUCGCACCAGCAGGUGGGACGACCCGGCACC